AUGACCCCAAGAACAUCGUCCCUGAAGGAAGGUAAAGGCCAUGUCAAUGCUGAGGUGACCCAGUUCCCAAGACACCGCAUCGCCACUCGUGGAGAAACGCUGACGGUGGCCUGCACGCAGGACCUGAAUCACGACGCCAUGUACUGGUACCGCCAGGACCCAGGAGAGGGACUGCGGCUCCUCCACUACUCGGUCAACGUGGACAUUGUGGACAAGGGGGAGCUCCCCGACGGCUACCUCGUGUCCCGAAAGGAGAAGAAGAGCUUCCCACUGACCCUGGAGUCUGCGGUCCCUAGCCAGACCGCGCUGUACCUGUGUGCCAGCAGCUAAGCCACAGACAGACCUCAGUACUUUGGAGAGGGCACACGGCUCUCCGUCCUCGAGAACCUGGACAAGGUGAAAGCACCACAGGUGACCAUCUUCGAGCCCUCCCCGGCCGAGAUCUCCAGCACUCAGAAGGCCACACUCGUGUGUCUGGCCACCGGCUUCUACCCUGACCACGUGGAGCUGAGCUGGUGGGUGAACGGCAAAGAGGCCAUCAGCGGGGUCAGCACGGACCCCCAGCCCCGCCAGGAGCAGCCCGGCAGCCAGGGCUCCCCCUACGCUCUGAGCAGCCGCCUGAGGGUGGAGGCCGCCUUCUGGCACAACCCCAGGAACCACUUCCGCUGCCAGGUCCAGUUCUACGGCGUGGACGAGGACCAAGAGUGGGACCUGUCCACACCCAAGCCUGUCACCCAGAAAAUCAACGCUGAGGCCUGGGGCCGAGCAGACUGUGGCUUCACCUCGGUGUCCUACAAGCAGGGGCUCCUCUCGGCCACUGUCCUCUAUGAGGUCCUGCUGGGGAAGGCUGCCCUGUAUGCCGUGCUGGUCAGCGCCCUGGUGCUGGUGGCCAUGAUCAAGAAGAAGGACCCCUGA
Elephantulus edwardii (Cape elephant shrew) is the source of this 915-nucleotide non-coding RNA. The record is from the annotation of a RefSeq genome assembly. Lineage: Eukaryota; Metazoa; Chordata; Mammalia; Macroscelidea; Macroscelididae.